AACGAACGCUGGCGGCGCGUCUUAAGCAUGCAAGUCGAAUGGCAAGGGAGUGCUUGCACUCCCCUAGAAUGGCGGACUGGUGAGUAACACGUGGGUGACAUACCCUUAGGACGGGGAUAGCUUCUAGAAAUAGAAGAUAAUACCGGAUACGACCACUACAGCUAGAGUGUAGUGAGGAAAGGGGCUACGGCCCCGCCUGAGGAAUGGCCCGCGGCCCAUUAGCUAGUUGGUGAGGUAAAGGCCCACCAAGGCGAUGAUGGGUAUCCGGCCUAAGAGGGUGAACGGACACAUUGGGACUGAGAUACGGCCCAGACUCCUACGGGAGGCAGCAGCUAAGAAUAUUCCGCAAUGGACGAAAGUCUGACGGAGCGACGCCGCGUGGAUGAUGAAGGCCGUGAGGUUGUAAAGUCCUUUUGAACCUGACGAAUAAGCGUGGGAGGGAAUGCCUGCGUGGUGACGGUAGGGUUUGAAUAAGC
This 476-nucleotide ribosomal RNA is filed under the name uncultured Treponema sp. RNAcentral's name for it is "bacterial SSU rRNA". It matches the Rfam family "Bacterial small subunit ribosomal RNA", at positions 29 to 491 of the family's 1533-position model. The record is from RNAcentral. Lineage: Bacteria; Pseudomonadati; Spirochaetota; Spirochaetia; Treponematales; Treponemataceae.